This 253-nucleotide ribosomal RNA is filed under the name uncultured bacterium. RNAcentral describes it as "partial 16S ribosomal RNA". It matches the Rfam family "Bacterial small subunit ribosomal RNA", at positions 524 to 776 of the family's 1533-position model. The record is from RNAcentral.
UACGGGGGGAGCAAACGUUGUUCGGAAUCACUGGGCGUAAAGGGCGUGUAGGCGGCUGAAUAAGUGGGAUGUUAAAUCCCCCGGCUCAACCGGGGACCUGCAUCUCAUACUGUUCAGCUCGAGCACAUCAGAGGAGACUGGAAUUCCCGGUGUAGCGGUGAAAUGCGUAGAGAUCGGGAGGAAUACCAGCAGCGAAGGCGGCGAACUGGAUAGGAACUGACACUCAACUGCGAAAGCGUGGGGAGCAAACAGG